GGGCGUACACACACGCUACAAUGGUCGGCACAAUAGGUUGCCAAGUCGUGAGACGGAGCCAAUCCUCCCAAAGACCGGCCUCAGUUCAGAUUGCAGGCUGCAACUCGCCUGCAUGAAGUUGGAGGUUGCUAGUAAACGCAGGUCAGCUAUACUGCGUUGAAUACGUUCCCGGGGAUU
Molecule: ribosomal RNA, 177 nt
Filed under: uncultured Anaerolineaceae bacterium
Lineage: Bacteria; Bacillati; Chloroflexota; Anaerolineae; Anaerolineales; Anaerolineaceae
Description: partial 16S ribosomal RNA
Rfam family: Bacterial small subunit ribosomal RNA
Source: RNAcentral